This is a non-coding RNA of Aspergillus avenaceus, 102 nucleotides long. The record is from the annotation of a GenBank genome assembly. Lineage: Eukaryota; Fungi; Ascomycota; Eurotiomycetes; Eurotiales; Aspergillaceae.
GGGACGAUGGCGCAGCUGGGAGCGCGUUUGACUGAAGUUUAACUUCAUCACAAAGCACUUUGUGCGAUCAAGAGGUCAUCGGUUCGAACCCGGUUCGUCCCA